This 497-nucleotide ribosomal RNA is filed under the name uncultured bacterium. RNAcentral's name for it is "partial 16S ribosomal RNA". It matches the Rfam family "Bacterial small subunit ribosomal RNA", at positions 28 to 507 of the family's 1533-position model. The record is from RNAcentral.
GACGAACGCUGGCGGCGUGCCUAAUACAUGCAAGUUGAGCGCUGAAGGUUGGUACUUGUACCAACUGGAUGAGCAGCGAACGGGUGAGUAACGCGUGGGGAAUCUGCCUUUGAGCGGGGGACAACAUUUGGAAACGAAUGCUAAUACCGCAUAAAAACUUUAAACACAAGUUUUAAGUUUGAAAGAUGCAAUUGCAUCACUCAAAGAUGAUCCCGCGUUGCAUUAGCUAGUUGGUGAGGUAAAGGCUCACCAAGGCGAUGAUACAUAGCCGACCUGAGAGGGUGAUCGGCCACAUUGGGACUGAGACACGGCCCAAACUCCUACGGGAGGCAGCAGUAGGGAAUCUUCGGCAAUGGACGAAAGUCUGACCGAGCAACGCCGCGUGAGUGAAGAAGGUUGUCGGAUCGGAAAACUCGGUUGGUAGAGAAGAACGUUGGUGAGAGUGGAAAGCUCAUCAAGUGACGGUAACUACCCAGAAAGGGACGGCUAACUACGUG